CGUACUGAACUGGAAAUACAUAACCAUUUACUAUCAAGAAAAAAAUCAGGGACAUAGGUCCUCAAACCAUGAGGACUCACCAACUGUACGAAUGUAGAUGGAGGUACUCGAAGAUCACUGUCGCUGCUGAGACUGAGCACCUGAAUCUACAUCACGAGAAAAUAUAGAACACAGAAGAGUAUGAGAAACAGUACUUGGGAAUGUACUGAGUAUGUGGGGG
This 220-nucleotide long non-coding RNA is filed under the name Capsicum annuum. Its description in RNAcentral is "long non-coding RNA (CANN_LNC017304)". Lineage: Eukaryota; Viridiplantae; Streptophyta; Magnoliopsida; Solanales; Solanaceae. The record is from RNAcentral.